CAAUUAAAGAGCCAACCUUUCGUCAUUUUCUCUUGCACAGUUAUCCCCAAAUUAGAGAAAACCCUUUUCGACGAAAAAUUGGUUCGAAGUCCAGAUUCCAUCCUGAAUAAGAAGUCAGUGAUUAAUUUAGCAAUCGUCUCCAUCUUUGGGUUUCUCAGCUCUAGUUAAUCUCGCGGUUGGGUUUUUUUCCUUUUUAGCCAUAAGACGGAAGCUGCACCGCAUGUAAAUCGACCAUCUCCAAGGCCAUCCAUCGCCUCCAGCGAAAUAUCGCAACAAACAUUAUUGCUCGGUGGUUGUAGUCUACUGUAGCGUAAUACAUGGUUUGUGUGUAGUAUGCCAAGAAAGAACUCUGGAAUAUGUCAUAGCUGUCGAGAGAAGAGUCACUUCUUUGCUGAUUGUGUGAAAAAAAAACGAUGCCCUCGGUGUAAAAUUGGUUUUGUGAAGUGCUUUGAGGUCGAGAGGGAAACGAAGAACAGGAGAAAAUUGUUCAAUUGCUGCAUUGCUAACUGUAAAUAUUAGGAAUUGCUCGACCUUGAAGAAUCAAGUGCUGGAUCAAGUAGCAUUACUGUAAACUCGAAUAAUCAUGCGGCUACGGAAGAAGUUCAACACUUCUCUGACUUGUUCCAAUCUUUUUGUCGGGUAGCCGAAGAAAAAAAUAUUGAAAUUGCAUUGAACAUGACUAUAUGCAAGGCCAGCGGAAGUGCGGAAGUGGAUAAGAAAGGGAAGGGACCAGCAUGAUUAGUAGUUAUGUUGUCAAUAAGUGUCGUUCCCUGCUACUUUUGAUGUGUAAUAUGUGUUCUGUCUAGUGUAGCUGGUGAACUGUAAGAAUGCCGAUGUUCAUUUUGGUGAAUGUAACAUGUUGGUCUGAUGAUGAAAGCAACUAUAUCAAGGAUGUUGGUCUGAGGAAUGAAACUAAGUUAUGUUCUUGACGCUAGUGUAUGACAGGAAUUUAAUGUAUAAACUUUUAUGCAAGUCAUCCGAAUUGAAUAAUAAUCAGAGAACUUAUAUGUUUCCAA
Molecule: long non-coding RNA, 1016 nt
Organism: Olea europaea var. sylvestris
Lineage: Eukaryota; Viridiplantae; Streptophyta; Magnoliopsida; Lamiales; Oleaceae
Exons: 2
Source: RefSeq, a predicted model, not a curated record